CAUGAACCCCAAAGUACUUUCUGCCAUGCAUGUAUUCUUCAGAGUAUCUUGGUAAUAUUCUACAGAAAGAGAGAUGCUGGAAGAUCUACCGUAGGUUACUAUGCAGCGGUUGGGCUGAGAGAAUUUGAGAAAGUCAGAAAGCGCAGAUGACUUAAGACUGGAGAAUCUUUGAGCAAGAUCAAAUUGAAGGCGUUGAAUUGAGAGAAGGAAGAUUAAAGAUGAAAUCAAGGGUGUGACUUAAAACCAUUCGUGAAGACCUCAGAAGAAACAAAGAUGGUGCCUCAGAAUACGAUUCAGUCACAUAGGAGCGCUUUAAAUAAAUUAAGGGUGUGCUCACAGAUUUUUUUAAACAAGCUGCCUCUAGGAAGCUUAAGGAAUAUUGCCUCAUAUUCUCUCAGCAAGGGCCCAAGGUAGAGAAGAGAUUAGGGGUGUGACUUCUGCCUAAUGGAGUGAACCCCCAGAAGCAUCACAGGUGACACCCACAGUUUUUAAAGGAGGUAUAUAUGCAGAAAUACCACUAGUUUGGGCUGAGAGAGUCAGAGAACAAUGAGAACAGAGGCCUUUGGACACGGAGAAUUCUGUCAAGAAGCAGGCUGCAUUAGCUGUUCAGUUGCAAACCCAUUCUGCUUUUAAUAGAAAAAAAAAAAAAAGAAGAAGGAUAAUUGGAGGACAAAACAAAGCCCCAAGGGCAGAGCCAAGAACCAUGGAGAAUUACUCUUAGGCCUCGAGACUUAAUAAAUAAACUCCUGAUAUUUGCUUGGAUGGCCUUCAGAAUGCUGUGUACCAAUGACUCCAUGUGCCUCCUAUUUGCCUUCUUUUGAAUAGAAAUGUCAAUAAAGGUUAUACUACACUUGUCCCACCACUGUGUGUUGAGCAUGUGGGAGAGGUAACUUGUCUCUUUAGUUUCACAGGUUAAGAAGAAGAAAUGUACUCAAAGAGCUGUACUUAAGGAAUUAAAACUGAGGAGCCCCAACUGCACCUGGACCUGAUUUAGAUGACAAGAUUUUGGAUAUUGAGCUCACACUGCAAUGGGAUGAGACUUUGCAAUCCUUGGAGGGAAAGAGCAAGGAACAAACAAGAAGAAAAUCAAGGGGAAAGCAAGAAAAAAACGAAAGCCAAUGGAGUAUGAAGAAGACUACGUGCAAAUAAAAAGACUGCUGUUCAGAGAGGUAAAGCCAUUUGCCCAAGGUCACACACCUGGGAACUAAAGUCUAUUUGAGUCUGAAGUUAUCCCCAGCAAGUGAUGCCUGCACCCAGAACCAGCCAGGCCUUGACAUCAGAUGCUGGCCCCAGGAGGAAAUGUUGAGAGAUUGUGACAAAGGGAUUACAGGCAGAGAGAAAUGCUUUUGGCCUUUAGAGGAAGAGCCGUGUGAAGGAAAAUUAAUGAUAGGCUGCCUACAGUCCAUGAAUUCCCAGGUCAUUUUCCUUGGGUCUACCCAGCGCACGGCCUGGGAGUACCCUGUUCAGGCAGUAUUUGGACCCCCAGCAACCACUUCGACCCUUCCAUUCUCCAUACGAGAGCCAAAAAGAUCUUUCCAAAAGGACCACCCUGACUGGACUUAAGAAGCUGAGAGAAUGGAGAGCUGAUGUAUGGCUGCAAUUAGAAAGUUUCAAAACUAUUGCUUUAAAACACCAGAGAACCAGUGCCUAUUUGGAAAAGUAAUAUGGGCACACAAGGAAGAAAGCAAUGCAGUGACAUAUGUCAACAAGGCUACUGAACGAUGAUAGCUAUGCCAGAGAAAAGCAUUACAUAAUGACAUCAAAAUAGGACACUUGAGGAAUGUCUUAGAGCUAAAACAGCUGUCACCUGGUAUUUUGGCAUUAUUGAAGAACAUGAAGAGAUAGUCCCUGGAAACUGGAGAGUACAGCUUAUUUGCAACAACAAUUUUCAGAGGUCAAGAACAUGUUUUCCUCAUUUUUUAAA
Molecule: long non-coding RNA, 1924 nt
Filed under: Homo sapiens (human)
Lineage: Eukaryota; Metazoa; Chordata; Mammalia; Primates; Hominidae
Description: HSALNT0313161
Source: RNAcentral